Small nucleolar RNA from Pyrus x bretschneideri (Chinese white pear), 107 nucleotides. The record is from RefSeq and is a predicted model, not a curated record. NCBI's taxonomy places the organism in Eukaryota, Viridiplantae, Streptophyta, Magnoliopsida, Rosales, Rosaceae.
AACCCAUGAUGUGGACAUUGUAGCAAAAGGCCUUUAAAGCACUCUUAACAUUCAUUAAAAGGUUCUCCAUUAUCUUGCUUAAAGUUAAAGAUUUGCCCUCUCAAAGU